This 429-nucleotide ribosomal RNA is filed under the name Bacteroidota bacterium. RNAcentral's name for it is "Bacteroidetes bacterium partial 16S ribosomal RNA". It matches the Rfam family "Bacterial small subunit ribosomal RNA", at positions 355 to 776 of the family's 1533-position model. The record is from RNAcentral. Lineage: Bacteria; Pseudomonadati; Bacteroidota.
UAGGGAAUCUUCCGCAAUGGACGCAAGUCUGUCGGAGCAACGCCGCGUGAGUGAAGAAGGAUUUCGGUUCGUAAAACUCUGUUGUUAGAGAAGAACAGCGCAUAGAGUAACUGUUAUGCGUGUGACGGUAUCUAACCAGAAAGCCACGGCUAACUACGUGCCAGCAGCCGCGGUAAUACGUAGGUGGCAAGCGUUGUCCUGAUUUAUUGGGCGUAAAGCGAGCGCAGGCGGUCAAUUAAGUCUGAUGUGAAAGCCCCCGGCUCAACCGGGGAGGGUCAUGUGAAACUGGUUGACUUGAGUGCAGAAGAGGGGAGUGGAAUUCCAUGUGUAGCGGAGAAGUGCGUAGAUAUAUGGAGGAACACCAGUGGCGAAGGCGACUCUCUGGUCUGUAACUGACGCUGAGGCUCGAAAGCGUGGGUAGCAAACAGG